RNAcentral lists this ribosomal RNA (264 nucleotides) under uncultured bacterium. RNAcentral's name for it is "partial 16S ribosomal RNA". It matches the Rfam family "Bacterial small subunit ribosomal RNA", at positions 793 to 1055 of the family's 1533-position model. The record is from RNAcentral.
GUCCACGCCGUAAACGAUGACUGCUAGGUGUCGGGUGGCAAAGCCAUUCGGUGCCGCAGCUAACGCAAUAAGCAGUCCACCUGGGGAGUACGUUCGCAAGAAUGAAACUCAAAGGAAUUGACGGGGACCCCGCACAAGCGGUGGAGCAUGUGGUUUAAUUCGAAGCAACGCGAAGAACCUUACCUGAUCUUGACAUCCCGAUGACCGCUUCGUAAUGGAAGCUUUUCUUCGGAACAUCGGUGACAGGUGGUGCAUGGUUGUCGU